UACGUAGGGGGCAAGCGUUUGUCCGGAGUUACUGGGCGUAAAGCGCACGCAGGCGGUCUUUUAAGUUUGGAGUGACAGUUGGUGGCUUAACUGCCAAAGUGCUUCGAAAACUGAGAGACUUGAGGGCUUCAGAGGGACACGGAAUUCCGGGUGGAGUGGUGAAAUGCGUAGAGAUCCGGAGGAACACCAAAGGCGAAGGCAGUGUCCUGGGGAGUACCUGACGCUCAGGUGCGAAAGCCAGGGGAGCGAACGGG
RNAcentral lists this ribosomal RNA (254 nucleotides) under uncultured bacterium. Its description in RNAcentral is "partial 16S ribosomal RNA". It matches the Rfam family "Bacterial small subunit ribosomal RNA", at positions 524 to 776 of the family's 1533-position model. The record is from RNAcentral.